This is a long non-coding RNA of Mastomys coucha (southern multimammate mouse), 510 nucleotides long. RefSeq lists it as uncharacterized. Lineage: Eukaryota; Metazoa; Chordata; Mammalia; Rodentia; Muridae. The transcript is spliced from 2 exons. The record is from RefSeq and is a predicted model, not a curated record.
UCCAUUUCAUGGCUUUUUCUGGGAAGCUAUUUACAAAGGUCAACUUGCUCUAGAUGGAUUAUGGAUGACAAACAAAAGAUAUGAUACUAUUCAAGUCAAGCUUGAUGAGCCAGUGAGUUUGUUGGGUUACUUUCAGGAGUAUGGAGUACAAAGAUAGUUGUGUCACCAAAAAUUUCAUCCCAGCAUGAGUAACUGGAGAAGGAGAUGUCAACUUAGAAGACCAGAAGCAAAAACUAUAAACCUCAGAACAAUGUUUUCUUCCCUGUUUGAUGUAACCACUCCAAGAGAGUCAGAGCUGGUUCUGGGUUUGGGAGAGUGGAUUCCACAGUAAGAGCACAAGUGAACUGAACAGAGCAUCAGAAUUCCUCUGUUGCCUGAUGGUCAGUUUACUCACCUGUGUGCACAUGAUGGAAGAGCAAGAAACUGAAAUACUGUACUCAUGAUGUAUUUCUUUUUAGAUAUUUAAAGAUAUUGUUCUGACAAACAUUUAAAAAAUGAUUUCUCUCAAUA